This 2904-nucleotide ribosomal RNA is filed under the name Escherichia coli. RNAcentral describes it as "23S ribosomal RNA". It matches the Rfam family "Bacterial large subunit ribosomal RNA". The record is from RNAcentral. Lineage: Bacteria; Pseudomonadati; Pseudomonadota; Gammaproteobacteria; Enterobacterales; Enterobacteriaceae.
GGUUAAGCGACUAAGCGUACACGGUGGAUGCCCUGGCAGUCAGAGGCGAUGAAGGACGUGCUAAUCUGCGAUAAGCGUCGGUAAGGUGAUAUGAACCGUUAUAACCGGCGAUUUCCGAAUGGGGAAACCCAGUGUGUUUCGACACACUAUCAUUAACUGAAUCCAUAGGUUAAUGAGGCGAACCGGGGGAACUGAAACAUCUAAGUACCCCGAGGAAAAGAAAUCAACCGAGAUUCCCCCAGUAGCGGCGAGCGAACGGGGAGCAGCCCAGAGCCUGAAUCAGUGUGUGUGUUAGUGGAAGCGUCUGGAAAGGCGCGCGAUACAGGGUGACAGCCCCGUACACAAAAAUGCACAUGCUGUGAGCUCGAUGAGUAGGGCGGGACACGUGGUAUCCUGUCUGAAUAUGGGGGGACCAUCCUCCAAGGCUAAAUACUCCUGACUGACCGAUAGUGAACCAGUACCGUGAGGGAAAGGCGAAAAGAACCCCGGCGAGGGGAGUGAAAAAGAACCUGAAACCGUGUACGUACAAGCAGUGGGAGCACGCUUAGGCGUGUGACUGCGUACCUUUUGUAUAAUGGGUCAGCGACUUAUAUUCUGUAGCAAGGUUAACCGAAUAGGGGAGCCGAAGGGAAACCGAGUCUUAACUGGGCGUUAAGUUGCAGGGUAUAGACCCGAAACCCGGUGAUCUAGCCAUGGGCAGGUUGAAGGUUGGGUAACACUAACUGGAGGACCGAACCGACUAAUGUUGAAAAAUUAGCGGAUGACUUGUGGCUGGGGGUGAAAGGCCAAUCAAACCGGGAGAUAGCUGGUUCUCCCCGAAAGCUAUUUAGGUAGCGCCUCGUGAAUUCAUCUCCGGGGGUAGAGCACUGUUUCGGCAAGGGGGUCAUCCCGACUUACCAACCCGAUGCAAACUGCGAAUACCGGAGAAUGUUAUCACGGGAGACACACGGCGGGUGCUAACGUCCGUCGUGAAGAGGGAAACAACCCAGACCGCCAGCUAAGGUCCCAAAGUCAUGGUUAAGUGGGAAACGAUGUGGGAAGGCCCAGACAGCCAGGAUGUUGGCUUAGAAGCAGCCAUCAUUUAAAGAAAGCGUAAUAGCUCACUGGUCGAGUCGGCCUGCGCGGAAGAUGUAACGGGGCUAAACCAUGCACCGAAGCUGCGGCAGCGACGCUUAUGCGUUGUUGGGUAGGGGAGCGUUCUGUAAGCCUGCGAAGGUGUGCUGUGAGGCAUGCUGGAGGUAUCAGAAGUGCGAAUGCUGACAUAAGUAACGAUAAAGCGGGUGAAAAGCCCGCUCGCCGGAAGACCAAGGGUUCCUGUCCAACGUUAAUCGGGGCAGGGUGAGUCGACCCCUAAGGCGAGGCCGAAAGGCGUAGUCGAUGGGAAACAGGUUAAUAUUCCUGUACUUGGUGUUACUGCGAAGGGGGGACGGAGAAGGCUAUGUUGGCCGGGCGACGGUUGUCCCGGUUUAAGCGUGUAGGCUGGUUUUCCAGGCAAAUCCGGAAAAUCAAGGCUGAGGCGUGAUGACGAGGCACUACGGUGCUGAAGCAACAAAUGCCCUGCUUCCAGGAAAAGCCUCUAAGCAUCAGGUAACAUCAAAUCGUACCCCAAACCGACACAGGUGGUCAGGUAGAGAAUACCAAGGCGCUUGAGAGAACUCGGGUGAAGGAACUAGGCAAAAUGGUGCCGUAACUUCGGGAGAAGGCACGCUGAUAUGUAGGUGAAGCGACUUGCUCGUGGAGCUGAAAUCAGUCGAAGAUACCAGCUGGCUGCAACUGUUUAUUAAAAACACAGCACUGUGCAAACACGAAAGUGGACGUAUACGGUGUGACGCCUGCCCGGUGCCGGAAGGUUAAUUGAUGGGGUCAGCGCAAGCGAAGCUCUUGAUCGAAGCCCCGGUAAACGGCGGCCGUAACUAUAACGGUCCUAAGGUAGCGAAAUUCCUUGUCGGGUAAGUUCCGACCUGCACGAAUGGCGUAAUGAUGGCCAGGCUGUCUCCACCCGAGACUCAGUGAAAUUGAACUCGCUGUGAAGAUGCAGUGUACCCGCGGCAAGACGGAAAGACCCCGUGAACCUUUACUAUAGCUUGACACUGAACAUUGAGCCUUGAUGUGUAGGAUAGGUGGGAGGCUUUGAAGUGUGGACGCCAGUCUGCAUGGAGCCGACCUUGAAAUACCACCCUUUAAUGUUUGAUGUUCUAACGUUGACCCGUAAUCCGGGUUGCGGACAGUGUCUGGUGGGUAGUUUGACUGGGGCGGUCUCCUCCUAAAGAGUAACGGAGGAGCACGAAGGUUGGCUAAUCCUGGUCGGACAUCAGGAGGUUAGUGCAAUGGCAUAAGCCAGCUUGACUGCGAGCGUGACGGCGCGAGCAGGUGCGAAAGCAGGUCAUAGUGAUCCGGUGGUUCUGAAUGGAAGGGCCAUCGCUCAACGGAUAAAAGGUACUCCGGGGAUAACAGGCUGAUACCGCCCAAGAGUUCAUAUCGACGGCGGUGUUUGGCACCUCGAUGUCGGCUCAUCACAUCCUGGGGCUGAAGUAGGUCCCAAGGGUAUGGCUGUUCGCCAUUUAAAGUGGUACGCGAGCUGGGUUUAGAACGUCGUGAGACAGUUCGGUCCCUAUCUGCCGUGGGCGCUGGAGAACUGAGGGGGGCUGCUCCUAGUACGAGAGGACCGGAGUGGACGCAUCACUGGUGUUCGGGUUGUCAUGCCAAUGGCACUGCCCGGUAGCUAAAUGCGGAAGAGAUAAGUGCUGAAAGCAUCUAAGCACGAAACUUGCCCCGAGAUGAGUUCUCCCUGACUCCUUGAGAGUCCUGAAGGAACGUUGAAGACGACGACGUUGAUAGGCCGGGUGUGUAAGCGCAGCGAUGCGUUGAGCUAACCGGUACUAAUGAACCGUGAGGCUUAACCUU